AUUGAACGCUGGCGGCAGGCCUAACACAUGCAAGUCGAACGGUAACAGGAAGCAGCUUGCUGCUUCGCUGACGAGUGGCGGACGGGUGAGUAAUGUCUGGGAAACUGCCUGAUGGAGGGGGAUAACUACUGGAAACGGUAGCGAAUACCGCAUAACGUCGCAAGACCAAAGAGGGGGACCUUAGGGCCUCUUGCCAUCGGAUGUGCCCAGAUGGGAUUAGCUAGUAGGUGGGGUAACGGCUCACCUAGGCGACGAUCCCUAGCUGGUCUGAGAGGAUGACCAGCCACACUGGAACUGAGACACGGUCCAGACUCCUACGGGAGGCAGCAGUGGGGAAUAUUGCACAAUGGGCGCAAGCCUGAUGCUGCCAUGCCGCGUGUAUGAAGAAGGCCUUCGGGUUGUAAAGUACUUUCAGCGGGGAGGAAGGGAGUAAAGUUAAUACCUUUGCUCAUUGACGUUACCCGCAGAAGAAGCACCGGCUAACUCCGUG
RNAcentral lists this ribosomal RNA (490 nucleotides) under uncultured bacterium. RNAcentral describes it as "partial 16S ribosomal RNA". It matches the Rfam family "Bacterial small subunit ribosomal RNA", at positions 30 to 507 of the family's 1533-position model. The record is from RNAcentral.